GUCUAUGGCCAUACCACUCUGAAUGUGCCUGAUUGAUCUCCUCUGAUCUCGGAAGCUAAGCAGGGUUGAGCCUGGGAGGAUUUGGAUGGGAUGAUCUGUGUUCUGAUUGCUGAUUGCUGCUUCUGAUCUUAGACA
This 135-nucleotide ribosomal RNA is filed under the name Prolemur simus (greater bamboo lemur). Lineage: Eukaryota; Metazoa; Chordata; Mammalia; Primates; Lemuridae. The record is from RNAcentral.